GGGCGGUUAGCUCAGUGGUAGAGCACUGCCUUCACACGGCAGGGGUCGACAGUUCGAAACUGCCACCGCCCACCA
RNAcentral lists this transfer RNA (75 nucleotides) under Betaproteobacteria bacterium. Its description in RNAcentral is "tRNA-Val". It matches the Rfam family "tRNA". From Rfam's summary of the family: Transfer RNA (tRNA) molecules are approximately 80 nucleotides in length. The record is from RNAcentral. Lineage: Bacteria; Pseudomonadati; Pseudomonadota; Betaproteobacteria. RNAcentral also lists the same sequence under 2 other names.